Molecule: unclassified non-coding RNA, 854 nt
Filed under: Daphnia pulicaria
Lineage: Eukaryota; Metazoa; Arthropoda; Branchiopoda; Diplostraca; Daphniidae
Description: uncharacterized LOC124341351, transcript variant X3
Source: RNAcentral
AGUGUAGACCCAUUCCCAGCAACGACAAUCUGCAGAAGGAAAGGUACGUAAAACUUGUCAUGCAGAGACCCAUCCCCAGCAACGACAACCUGCAAAAGGAAAGGACAGUCACACUCGAAGGCCACGGAGAAAAACGUGUCAUACAGCGGUGUAGAGGUUGGGUGAGGACGGACGUUUUGCAUCAUGCACCAUGCACCUGCACCAUGCAUCCUGCACCAUGCAGGUACAACACCCGCAAGGCUUUAGAGGUGAGGAUGAGAAAAAAAAAAUCGUAUAAAAGGAGAGAGAAAAGGCGAAGGAAAAUCAGUCGAGUGAUCUCCGACACGGCAACAACUGCAGCGCACUAUCUGUCACCAUCUGCCUUCUUCCAGUUCGCAACCAUGGUCAACUAUGGUGUCGUGCUCCUGUUGGGUAUUGUAUCGCUGAUGGCUGGGUCGACCACUGGUGUACCGAUGUCUACUUGGUAUGGCGCAAACCAAACCGCAACGCCGCCGCCUUCCUACACAACAACUUACGCAACGACUAGUUCCUGCACCACUGCCUUCAAGUACUACACCACUAAAGCACCGGAGUUUUAUUCCACAACUUACGCUGCCCUGACGCCCUUGUAUUACUCUGCCCCGAGUUACUACACCAUCUAGGCGACGGAGUACUACAUGACGACGUAUGCUGCCCCAUCCGACUACACCGAGGCUCCCAAGCUCCCGCUGAUUACUCCACCAACAUGGUCGAGUACUACACCGAAGCGGCAAAGUACUUCUUUACCCCGAUCUACACAACCACAAGUGAGGCGGCCAAGUAUUACGCAGUCCCGACUUGCUACACAGAAGCUGCUCUUUCGUGCUACGUUGAAC